AAACAUCGCCUCUUGACUAACCAUAAGAGGUCAAGCCUGCCCAGUGACAUUGUUCAACGGCCGCGGUAUCCUAACCGUGCGAAGGUAGCGUAAUCACUUGUUCUUUAAAUGAGGACUAGUAUGAACGGCUUCACGAAUGCUAUACUGUCUCCUUUAUCCAAUCAGUUAAACUAAUCUCCCCGUGAAGAAGCGGGGAUACACCUAUAAGACGAGAAGACCCUAUGGAGCUUUAAACACUCUUAAACAUUUGAACCCUUUAUUAUUUACCUCCAGAAAACUUCACUAAACCCCCUCAUUUUGUUUAAACUUUUAGGUUGGGGCGACCACGGAGAAUAACCUAACCUCCACGUGGAAAGAAACUUAAUUCUAAGCAAAAAGCCACAUCUUUAUGCAUCAAUAUUAUUGACCUAAAUUGACCCAAUUAUUUGAUAAACGAACCAAGUUACCCUAGGGAUAACAGCGCAAUCCGCUUUAAGAGCUCCUAUCGACAAGCGGGCUUACGACCUCGAUGUUGGAUCAGGACAUCCCAGUGGUGCAGCAGCUACUAAUGGUUCGUUUGUUCAACGAUUAAAACCCU
RNAcentral lists this ribosomal RNA (577 nucleotides) under Allobates trilineatus (three-striped rocket frog). Its description in RNAcentral is "partial 16S ribosomal RNA". It matches the Rfam family "Bacterial large subunit ribosomal RNA", at positions 1811 to 2597 of the family's 2925-position model. Lineage: Eukaryota; Metazoa; Chordata; Amphibia; Anura; Aromobatidae. The record is from RNAcentral.